CUAGCGACUUCAGAGUUUGAUCCUGGCUCAGGAUGAACGCUGGCGGCGUGCUUAACACAUGCAAGUCGAACGGAACUCAUUGGAUCAAGACUUCGGUCAAGUGAAUUUGAGUUUAGUGGCGGACGGGUGAGUAACGCGUGAGGAACCUGCCUCGGAGUGGGGAAUAACAGUUAGAAAUGACUGCUAAUACCGCAUAAUGCAUAUUGAUCGCAUGGUCGAUAUGCCAAAGAUUUAUCGCUCUGAGAUGGCCUCGCGUCUGAUUAGCUAGUUGGCGGGGUAACGGCCCACCAAGGCGACGAUCAGUAGCCGGACUGAGAGGUUGGCCGGCCACAUUGGGACUGAGACACGGCCCAG
Molecule: ribosomal RNA, 354 nt
Filed under: uncultured bacterium
Lineage: Bacteria
Description: bacterial SSU rRNA
Rfam family: Bacterial small subunit ribosomal RNA
Source: RNAcentral